GAUAACCUAUAACCACCCUGUAUAUAGAUAACCUAAGUCCCAACCUGCUAGCCAUUACAAUUUUGCUUAUUAUUGUUUAUAUAACAAAUUUUGCGACUUCCCAUACAAUUAUUAACGACUCCGCUUCAAACUGAAAUAUUUUCCCGCCAUUUUGCCACGUUGAGGUACCAACUUUCGCAACUCUGUUUUUUUUUUUACAACUAGUAUAUAUUUAUAAAAUACAAGUUCUACUUUAUUAUCGAUAUUUUUAGAGAUCUUCCUCCGUUAACGAAGGGCGAACAUUUUCGAAGGGGUGGCCGUAAAUAUUUUGUCAAGCAGAGCCAGGAGCUUAUGGACCUAACAUUAGGGAUUCCGGAGCGGUAGGAGCACCGGGUUCGCAUUGUAUUUACUCGUUCGAUUAACCCUGCGAUUGUGACUGGUCGUGAUUUCCUCCUUCUGGACCAGUUAACCAAGGAUUUCUCGUACAGGACCUGUUCUACCCUAAGGCCGCUCCACUCCACCUCCAACAACUGAUUUCGCAGUCCAGGGACAGUAUAGGUUAGGAUUUUUUUUAAAGGGAAUUAGGACGGAUAAAUACAGGAAUGAUUUGCAUUUGCAACGUGGAUAUAGGGCGCCAUCUUGACGAGGAGGCUCGAAACUAAUAAACAACGGCGUCAACUCGAAUGGGCACCACUUGUAUGUUUCCGUUAGAUACAUCCCUGACGCUCGGUACAGUGCGCAUGCGCGAAAUGGCGG
Molecule: long non-coding RNA, 735 nt
Organism: Hylaeus volcanicus
Lineage: Eukaryota; Metazoa; Arthropoda; Insecta; Hymenoptera; Colletidae
Exons: 3
Source: RefSeq, a predicted model, not a curated record